UCCUCCCUCUUUCCUCGUGCUUAACACAUGCAAGUCGAACGGAAAGGCCCUGCUUUUGUGGGGUGCUCGAGUGGCGAACGGGUGAGUAACACGUGAGUAACCUGCCCUUGACUUUGGGAUAACUUCAGGAAACUGGGGCUAAUACCGGAUAGGAGCUCCUGCUGCAUGGUGGGGGUUGGAAAGUUUCGGCGGUUGGGGAUGGACUCGCGGCUUAUCAGCUUGUUGGUGGGGUAGUGGCUUACCAAGGCUUUGCAGGGUAGCCGGCCUGAGAGGGUGACCGGCCACAUUAGGACUGAGAUACGGCCCAGACUACUACGGGAGGCAGCAGUGGGGAAUAUUGCACAGUGGGCGGAAGCCUGAUGAAGCAACGCCGCGUGCGGGAUGACGGCCUUCGGGUUGUAAGCCGCUUUCGCCUGUGACGAAGCGUGAGUGACGGUAAUGGGUAAAGAAGCACCGGCUAACUACGUG
Molecule: ribosomal RNA, 468 nt
Filed under: uncultured bacterium
Lineage: Bacteria
Description: partial 16S ribosomal RNA
Rfam family: Bacterial small subunit ribosomal RNA
Source: RNAcentral